Molecule: ribosomal RNA, 450 nt
Filed under: uncultured bacterium
Lineage: Bacteria
Description: bacterial SSU rRNA
Rfam family: Bacterial small subunit ribosomal RNA
Source: RNAcentral
GCCAGACUCCUACGGGAGGCAGCAGUGGGGGAUAUUGCACAAUGGGGGAAACCCUGAUGCAGCGACGCCGCGUGGGCGAAGAAGUAUUUCGGUAUGUAAAGCCCUAUCAGCAGGGAAGAAGAAAUGACGGUGCCUGAGUAAGAAGCACCGGCUAAAUACGUGCCAGCAGCCGCGGUAAUACGUAUGGUGCAAGCGUUAUCCGGAUUUACUGGGUGUAAAGGGAGCGCAGGCGGCACGGCAAGCCUGAUGUGAAAGGCCGCGGCCCAACCGCGGGACUGCAUUGGGAACUACCGGGCUGGAGUGCCGGAGAGGUAGGCGGAAUUCCUAGUGUAGCGGUGAAAUGCGUAGAUAUUAGGAGGAACACCAGUGGCGAAGGCGGCCUACUGGACGGUGACUGACGCUGAGGCUCGAAAGUGUGGGGAGCAAACAGGAUUAGAUACCCCAGUACAA